UCCGUAGGUGACCUGCGGAAGGAUCAUUAAUGAAUAAACUUGGUCAGGCUGUUGCUGGUUCUUCGGGACAUGUGCACGCUUGCCACCAAUUUUAACCACCUGUGCACCUUUUGUAGACUGAAAAAUUUUUUCUCGAGGCAACUCGGAUUGAGAACUGCUGUGCGCAAGCCAGCUGUUCUUGUGUUUCUCAGUCUAUGUUUUCAUAUACUCCUCAUGUAUGUAUCUGAAUGUAUUGCUAGGCCUUAGUGCCUUUAAAAACAAAUACAACUUUCAACAACGGAUCUCUUGGCUCUCGCAUCGAUGAAGAACGCAGCGAAAUGCGAUAAGUAAUGUGAAUUGCAGAAUUCAGUGAAUCAUCGAAUCUUUGAACGCACCUUGCGCUCCUUGGUAUUCCGAGGAGCAUGCCUGUUUGAGUGUCAUUACAUUCUCAACUAUACAAGUUUUUACAACAUGUAUGGCUUGGAUCUUGGGAUUUGCGGGCUUUCACAAGUCGGCUAUCCUUAAAUGCAUUAGCAGAGCUUUUGCCGCUAACCUCUGGUGUGAUAAUUAUCUACGCCGUUGAGUUUCGACAUACUGAGGCUUAGCUUCUAAUCGUCCGCAAGGACAACAUUUGACAAUCUGACCUCAAAUCANGUAGGAUUACCCGCUGAACUUAAGCAUAUCAAUAAGCGGAGGAAAAGAAACUAACAAGGAUUUCUCCUAGUAACUGCGAGUGAAGCGGGAAAGCUCAAAUUUAAAAUCUGGUAGUCUUUGGGCUGCCCGAGUUGUAAUCUAGAGAAGCGUAUCCGUGCUGGAUCGUGUAUAAGUCU
This 809-nucleotide ribosomal RNA is filed under the name uncultured fungus. Its description in RNAcentral is "eukaryotic LSU rRNA". The stretch from base 266 to 419 matches the Rfam family "5.8S ribosomal RNA". The record is from RNAcentral. Lineage: Eukaryota; Fungi.